UACGAAGGUGGCAAGCGUUGUUCGGAUUUACUGGGCGUACAGGGUGCGUAGGCGGUUGGAUAAGCCCUCCGUGAAAUCUCCAGGCUUAACCUGGAAAGUGCAGAGGGGACUGUUCAGCUAGAGGAUGGGAGAGGAGCGCGGAAUUCCCGGUGUAGCGGUGAAAUGCGUAGAGAUCGGGAGGAAGGCCGGCGGCGAAGGCGGCGCUCUGGAACAUUUCUGACGCUGAGGCUCGAAAGCGUGGGGAGCAAACAGG
Molecule: ribosomal RNA, 253 nt
Filed under: uncultured bacterium
Lineage: Bacteria
Description: partial 16S ribosomal RNA
Rfam family: Bacterial small subunit ribosomal RNA
Source: RNAcentral